GAUGAACGCUGGCGGCGUGCUUAACACAUGCAAGUCGAACGGGAAACCUUUUAUUGAAGCUUCGGCAGAUUUAGCUGGUUUCUAGUGGCGGACGGGUGAGUAACGCGUGGGUAACCUGCCUUAUACAGGGGGAUAACAGUCAGAAAUGGCUGCUAAUACCGCAUAAGCGCACAGAGCUGCAUGGCUCAGUGUGAAAAACUCCGGUGGUAUAAGAUGGACCCGCGUUGGAUUAGCUGGUUGGUGGGGUAACGGCCCACCAAGGCGACGAUCCAUAGCCGGCCCGAGAGGGUGAACGGCCACAUUGGGACUGAGACACGGCCCAGACUCCUACGGGAGGCAGCAGUGGGGAAUAUUGCACAAUGGGUGAAACCCUGAUGCAGCGACGCCGCGUGAAGGAAGAAGUAUCUCGGUAUGUAAACUUCUAUCAGCAGGGAAGAUAAUGACGGUACCUGACUAAGAAGCCCCGGCUAACUACGUG
RNAcentral lists this ribosomal RNA (478 nucleotides) under uncultured bacterium. RNAcentral describes it as "partial 16S ribosomal RNA". It matches the Rfam family "Bacterial small subunit ribosomal RNA", at positions 28 to 507 of the family's 1533-position model. The record is from RNAcentral.